GGGUUCCAGAUUAUACAAUGGAGUAUCACUAGGCGACCAAAAAGUUGGGAAGCUUUAAUAAAGAUCAGAAUGACACAGGAAGAAGCAAGUGAGGGAUAGACAAGAGGAAGCAGACGUGCUGCCCUCUUUGACCACUCCCAGCAGCGUGGCAUGGCGCCCAGUUUGCUUGUGAACACACCGACCUCCAACUCUAAGACCAGCAUCAACUCCUCCUAUCACUGCCAGCACAGGCCACACCUCUAUGCAAAGGGUCCUCAGCUGCGGCUCUGAGAGUAAGUCCAACGGUCUGUUCGGUGAAGGAUACGGAUAAGCUGAAUAGUGGCCUCCGCCAGCACUGCUGCUACUGGACUGCAAAUAGGGUCUCCUGGAACAUGUUUGGCCUGAGCAAUAGGUGUUUCCCACAUACAGUCCGACAGAAGGGAAAAGAGGCGUUCAACAACCUAUUUAUUGAAGGAAAAAGAAUGAUAAAAUUUGUAAAAGUUUCCCUAACAGAAAGAAUGCCACAAUGUGUAUCUGUGAAGGAAGAAGGGUGUACUCACUGCCCGCUGUCAUCACUUCAUGUUCCCGUUCUUCUUCUUCAUCCUCCGGCUCAGGAUGCCCCUCUUCCCUGUUUCGCUCAGCCUGUUCUUCCAUUUCAGCUUCUUCAUCAAUGGUCCGAGUAAAUGAAUGCUCCUGAGGGUCAACAUCUGCAGAGUCCUGGUUUUCUGAGAUCUUAAAGAAAUAAUACUAUACUGAAUAUAUUUUUCAAAAACUUGGAAAACUUUAUUAAAGACCUUGAUUUUUAUCAUGGAAAAUACUGCUAAUAUUAGUAACACAUGAAUUUUUACUCCAACUACCCUAAAGAUACACUGGAUAAAUCUGAAAAGAUUAGAAAGAAUAUACGUACACAAGAUAUGUAUAGAGACUACCCCUACGCCCUCCUAUCUUCAGUAUCUAGAUUAGAAUGUCAUGUUAUAAAUUGACUCAAAUUUAUAUUGCUAUUCAGCUAUAAAUUCCUAGAGCUGCAACGUAAAGAUGAGUGUAAAACCAAGCAUAAAAGGUCAUUUAAGAACACGAAUUUUUAUACCAUUCAGUCUCCCUCAAGCUG
Canis lupus familiaris (dog) is the source of this 1087-nucleotide long non-coding RNA. RefSeq lists it as uncharacterized. The record is from RefSeq and is a predicted model, not a curated record. The transcript is spliced from 5 exons. Lineage: Eukaryota; Metazoa; Chordata; Mammalia; Carnivora; Canidae.